CAGUAGAUAGUUUAAUAAAAUAUUAAUUUUGGAUAUUAAAGAUGAGUUUACUCUUUACUGA
Molecule: transfer RNA, 61 nt
Filed under: Pirkimerus japonicus
Lineage: Eukaryota; Metazoa; Arthropoda; Insecta; Hemiptera; Blissidae
Description: tRNA-Pro
Source: RNAcentral